AUUUUCCACUUUCCAAAUUAAUCUGGCUAUUUUACUUCUGCUGUCCUCUGAAGCCUAGAGACAGCAUUCAAGAGGAUUUUCAGUGACUCAUCAGGAUUUGAAGCAAAAGGGCAGAGUCAGGCAAAAGGAGCCAGGAAGAACCCAGUCACCCUCUGGAAUUGAGGUAGAGGAAGGAAUUUGGAGGAGGAUGGAAGAGAAGCUGGACGCCCAAGGUCCCGUGACAGGAAACCCCUCUCUUCCUUUACAAAUGCUCAAA
Molecule: long non-coding RNA, 256 nt
Organism: Manis pentadactyla (Chinese pangolin)
Lineage: Eukaryota; Metazoa; Chordata; Mammalia; Pholidota; Manidae
Exons: 2
Source: RefSeq, a predicted model, not a curated record